This 448-nucleotide ribosomal RNA is filed under the name uncultured bacterium. RNAcentral's name for it is "bacterial SSU rRNA". It matches the Rfam family "Bacterial small subunit ribosomal RNA", at positions 355 to 825 of the family's 1533-position model. The record is from RNAcentral.
UCGGGAAUUUUGGGCAAUGGGCGAAAGCCUGACCCAGCAACGCCGCGUGAAGGAUGAAGUAUUUCGGUAUGUAAACUUCGAAAGAAUAGGAAGAAUAAAUGACGGUACUAUUUAUAAGGUCCGGCUAACUACGUGCCAGCAGCCGCGGUAAUACGUAGGGACCAAGCGUUGUUCGGAUUUACUGGGCGUAAAGGGCGCGUAGGCGGCAAUUCAAGUCAUCUGUGAAAUCUCCGGGCUUAACUCGGAACGGUCAGAUGAUACUGCUUUGCUAGAGUGCAGAAGGGGCAAUCGGAAUUCUUGGUGUAGCGAUGAAAUGCGUAGAUAUCAAGAGGAACACCUGAGGUGAAGACGGGUUGCUGGGCUGACACUGACGCUGAGGCGCGAAAGCCAGGGGAGCAAACGGGGAUUAGAUACCCAGGUAGUCCCUGAGCGGGCUGGCAAGGCGCAU